This is a long non-coding RNA of Rhopalosiphum padi (bird cherry-oat aphid), 409 nucleotides long. RefSeq lists it as uncharacterized. The record is from RefSeq and is a predicted model, not a curated record. NCBI's taxonomy places the organism in Eukaryota, Metazoa, Arthropoda, Insecta, Hemiptera, Aphididae. The transcript has 2 exons.
UAGACGAUUACACGUACCGCAUAAAGUUUUUACGGGUAUAACGACGAACAAGUUAUUUCGCGCAACGACAUCGUAGGCAUAUGAAUAGCGAAUGAAACUUUUGUAGUAACUGCAGAAGUAAAUAUGCGCGUGUGUUUUAGUUCGGGAUGACCGAUUCGGGCCGAGUUCACAUCAGGAGAUGGCACGACGAUUCGCGAAACUACAUUCGGUGUUAAAGACUAAAUUAAAUUAUCUGCUCCUAAACUCGACAAAAUCAAUAACGACAGUAAAAGAUAAACACACCAUCGUCACACUCUCGCUCUGCCUAGAAUAUAAAACUAUAGAUAUCAUAGUUGUCUAUCCAUUAUUAUUAACAUAAUAAUAUGGUUAUUUUAUAAUAAAAGUCUUAUAAAUCAUACAAGUUUAAAAA